AUGCAUGUUUAAGCAGAAGCCGCACAAUGGUAAAGCCGCGAAUGGCUCAUUACAACAGCCGUCGUUUCUUGGAUCUCUAAUUUUACUUGGAUAACUGUGGUAAUUCUAGAGCUAAUACACGCACUAAAGCUCUGACCUUAUGGGACGAGCGCAUUUAUUAGAACAAAACCAAUCGGGUUUCGGCCCGUUCGUUGGUGACUCUGAAUAACUCUGCCGAUCGCACGGUCUCGCACUGGCGACGUAUCUUUCAAGUGUCUGCCUUAUCAACUUUCGAUGGUAGUUUAUGUGCCUACCAUGGUUGUAACGGGUAACGGAGAAUAAGGGUUCGACUCCGGAGAGGGAGCCUGAGAAACGGCUACCACAUCCAAGGAAGGCAGCAGGCGCGCAAAUUACCCACUCUCGGCACGAGGAGGUAGUGACGAAAAAUAACGAGACGGAUCUCUUUGAGGCCCGUUAUCGGAAUGAGAACAAUUCAAAUCCUUUAACGAGGAUCUAGCGGAGGGCAAGUCUGGUGCCAGCAGCCGCGGUAAUUCCAGCUCCGCAGGUGUAUAUCUAUGCUGCUGCGGUUAAAAAGCUCGUAGUUGGAUCUGCGUGCUCGGAACUGGUUGGCUCACUGAGUUCAAACUGGUCUCCGGCGCUUUAUUUGCUGGUUUUCCCUUGAUGCUCUUAACCGGGUGUCUCGGGUGGCUAGCGUGUUUACUUUGAAAAAAUUAGAGUGCUCAAUACAGGCGCAAAGCCUUGAAUAGUGGUGCAUGGAAUAAUAGAAUAGGACCUCGGCUCUAUUUUGUUGGUUUUCGGAACGCGAGGUAAUGAUUAAGAGGGACAGACGGGGGCAUUCGUAUUGCGACGUUAGAGGUGNAAUUCUUGGAUCGUCGCAAGACGGACGACUGCGAAAGCAUUUGCCAAGAAUGUUUUCAUUAAUCAAGAACGAAAGUUAGA
This 939-nucleotide ribosomal RNA is filed under the name Sabatieria mortenseni. RNAcentral describes it as "SSU rRNA". It matches the Rfam family "Eukaryotic small subunit ribosomal RNA", at positions 51 to 994 of the family's 1831-position model. Lineage: Eukaryota; Metazoa; Nematoda; Chromadorea; Araeolaimida; Comesomatidae. The record is from RNAcentral.